CCGCGGCUCUCGCGAGACUUACAGUGGAGCUGACGGACCGGAGAAGAGAGAAGGGAGCUGCAGGAAAGGUAAGUUACAACUCGCUGCCAGCCUCCAACAGGACCGCCGGACUUGUAAUGAGCCCGGCGGUCCUGGUCUGUAUUAUGCCAAUGUACGUUGCCAUAAUACAGACCUUGACUCGAGUAUAAGUCGAGUGGGGGGUUUUCAGCACAAAAAUAAUGUGCUAAAAAACUUGACUUAUACUCGAGUAUAUACGGUACUUUCAUUUGGUUUGUGUAUAUUGAAGAUUUAAUUGUUAUUACAAUUGCUGAUUUAUUG
Pelobates cultripes (western spadefoot toad) is the source of this 318-nucleotide non-coding RNA. The record is from the annotation of a GenBank genome assembly. NCBI's taxonomy places the organism in Eukaryota, Metazoa, Chordata, Amphibia, Anura, Pelobatidae.